GCGCUCCCUUAGGUAGCACACACACUAAAAUGUGAAAAUACAGAGAUUAGCAUGGUCCCUGUGCAAGGACAACAGGCAAAUUCAUGAAGCAUUCAAAGAAAAA
Equus quagga is the source of this 103-nucleotide small nuclear RNA. The record is from RefSeq and is a predicted model, not a curated record. NCBI's taxonomy places the organism in Eukaryota, Metazoa, Chordata, Mammalia, Perissodactyla, Equidae.